AGAGUUUGAUCAUGGCUCAGGAUGAACGCUGGCGACGUGCUUAAUACAUGCAAGUCGAACGAAGCUCUUUUUCUUCGGAUGAAGAGUCUUAGUGGCGAACGGGUGCGUAACGCGUUGGUAACCUGCCCCAAAGAGGGGGAUAACAGUUCGAAAGGACUGCUAAUACCCCAUGUGAUCAUCAGGGUUAGAUACUUGAUGAUGAAAGGAGUAAUCCGCCUUGGGAGGGGCCUGCGUCCCAUCAGCUUGUUGGUAGGGUAAUGGCCUACCAAGGCUAUGACGGGUAGGGGACCUGAGAGGGUGGCCCCCCACACUGGCACUGAAAUACGGGCCAGACACCUACGGGUGGCAGCAGUAGGGAAUAUUGGACAAUGGGCGAAAGCCUGAUCCAGCAACGCCGCGUGCACGAUGACGGCCUUCGGGUUGUAAAGUGCUUUUAGGAGAGAUGAGAAAGGACAGUAUCUCCUGAAUAAGCCUCGGCGAACUACGUGCCAGCAGCCGCGGUAAAACGUAGGAGGCGAGCGUUAUCCGGAUUUAUUGGGCGUAAAGCGCGUGCAGGCGGUUUGGUAAGUUGGAUGUGAAAGCUCCUGGCUUAACUGGGAGAGGUCGUUCAAAACUACCAGACUAGAGAAUGGGAGAGGGAAGUGGAAUUCCGGGUGUAGUGGUGAAAUGCGUAGAUAUCCGGAGGAACACCAGUGGCGAAAGCGGCUUCCUGGACCAUUUCUGACGCUAAGACGCGAAAGCUAGGGGAGCGAACGGGAUUAGAGACCCCGGUAGUCCUAGCUGUAAACGAUGUAGACUUGGCGUUGGCGGAGUUAAAUCUGCCAGUGCCGGAGCUAACGCGUUAAGUCUACCGCCUGGGGACUACGACCGCAAGGUUAAAACUCAAAUGAAUUGACGG
RNAcentral lists this ribosomal RNA (898 nucleotides) under Chloroflexi bacterium enrichment culture clone B312139. Its description in RNAcentral is "bacterial SSU rRNA". It matches the Rfam family "Bacterial small subunit ribosomal RNA", at positions 8 to 916 of the family's 1533-position model. The record is from RNAcentral. Lineage: Bacteria; Bacillati; Chloroflexota.